This is a microRNA precursor of Oryza sativa Japonica Group (Japanese rice), 200 nucleotides long. It matches the Rfam family "MIR812 microRNA precursor family". Lineage: Eukaryota; Viridiplantae; Streptophyta; Magnoliopsida; Poales; Poaceae. The record is from Rfam.
AAAAAGACAAACCCUAGGUUUCCGUGACAACGUUUGACAUCAUAUAUGAAAUUUUUUUAUAAUUAGUAUUUUUAUCGUUGUUAGAUGAUAAAACAUGAUUAAUACUUUAUGCGUGACUUAUCUUUUUAAUUUUUUUCAUAAUUUUUUCAAAUAAGACGGACGGUCAAAUGUUGAUUACGGAAACCAGGGUUUGUCUUUUU